CUGAUGUAAGCAUAUCGUGUUAGAGAUUUAUAUCUCUUAGGGUGCGUUUGAUUCGCAUUAUGAAAGAUUACUAGGAAUAAAAGAUAUCCGAGAAUCUUAUUCCUAUUCAUCCUAUUACUAAGAAUGUGGAAUUCAUGUGUUUGGUUCGCACGGUAAUAUUAAUUAGCCAUGUUAUUUAAUAUUACAAAAAAUAUACAAUUAAUUAAUUAAUUUAUUUAUUUAAUUUUAAAUAAUGUUACCAAAAGUUUCAACAUCUUUUUAGAAAAAAGAGAGAGAGUAUAAGUUAGAGAGAGAGAGCAUAAUAAAAAAAAUAGAAAGAAAAAUAUAGUCGAAAUUAGAGGGAGUGAGAGAGUUGAAAUUUUAGAAAGAGAGAGAGAGAGAAAGCUUAGUUUAGAGAGAGAAAAAAAAGUUGAAUUUUAGAGAGAAAAAUAAGUUUAGAGAGAGAUAUAAGGUUAGAGUGUAAAGAAAAAUAAUAUCAAUUAGCCGGCGGGUAGGAAGAAAAAAAGAGAUUAGACAUAUUAUGAUUACCCCAAUCCAUUAAUAUGAGGAUACCCACCCCCCUCAAGGGAAUGAGAUUAGUACUUUGGGGUGAAUCUUAUUUCCAAGUGAAUCCAAUAUUACCAACUAGAUUACUUAGUGCGUUUAGCCAAACACCGUCAUAUUUUUUUAUUCCCAUUGGAUUACUAGGAAUCUUUAAAAGAUAGCGCGAACCAAACGCACCCUUAACGUAAUGACAAGACCAAGCCCAACCUAUU
Molecule: long non-coding RNA, 755 nt
Filed under: Ananas comosus (pineapple)
Lineage: Eukaryota; Viridiplantae; Streptophyta; Magnoliopsida; Poales; Bromeliaceae
Description: long non-coding RNA (ACOM_LNC008329)
Source: RNAcentral